RNAcentral lists this long non-coding RNA (306 nucleotides) under Capsella rubella. Its description in RNAcentral is "long non-coding RNA (CRUB_LNC004755)". The record is from RNAcentral. Lineage: Eukaryota; Viridiplantae; Streptophyta; Magnoliopsida; Brassicales; Brassicaceae.
UGAAACCAAGAAGCAGAUUCUGGUGAUCUUUCAUGAGUUCUUCCACCCUUUCAAUGACAAUAGCAGUAUCAACCCUAAAAAGAGACUUGGUAACAUCAGAAUCAAUUCACAUACAGGUUUGUCGUUGUGUGCUGACUGAGAAAACACUAUAAUUCAUACCUGCGAGCUCUAAAAUCAUUCAAAAGCUUAAUAAGUUGGGCAUAUUUUGCAGGUUCCUCAUGAAAUGCUUUCUUCACAGCAGUGAGGUAUGAAGUCGCAUCAUCCAUAGUUGCCCCAUUUCCCAACUCUUUGCUAGCCUCAGGUGGG